Molecule: ribosomal RNA, 486 nt
Filed under: uncultured bacterium
Lineage: Bacteria
Description: partial 16S ribosomal RNA
Rfam family: Bacterial small subunit ribosomal RNA
Source: RNAcentral
AUUGAACGCUGGCGGCAUGCCUUACACAUGCGAGUCGAACGGCAGCACGGGUGCUUGCCCCUGGUGGCGAGUGGCGAACGGGUGAGUAAUACAUCGGAACAUGUCCUGUAGUGGGGGAUAGCCCGGCGAAAGCCGGAUUAAUACCGCAUACGAUCUACGGAUGAAAGCGGGGGACCUUCGGGCCUCGCGCUAUAGGGUUGGCCGAUGGCUGAUUAGCUAGUUGGUGGGGUAAAGGCCUACCAAGGCGACGAUCAGUAGCUGGUCUGAGAGGACGACCCGCCACACUGGGACUGAGACACGGCCCAGACUCCUACGGGAGGCAGCAGUGGGGAAUUUUGGACAAUGGGCGAAAGCCUGAUCCAGCAAUGCCGCGUGUGUGAAGAAGGCCUUCGGGUUGUAAAGCACUUUUGUCCGGAAAGAAAUCCUUGGCCCUAAUACGGUCGGGGGAUGACGGUACCGGAAGAAUAAGCACCGGCUAACUACGUG